AGGGGCGCAAACGCGGACUAUAGCCUGUCGUUUCUAAGGGCUCAAGAAGGGACCCGGCUUUUUUUUUUUUUUUUUUUUUUUUUUUUUUUUUUUUUUUUACUGUCCCGAUUCCCAGUCUCUCUAACACUGCCUAAAGCAAGGGUGGGAGAUUGUAAUUUGCUCCUUUGUACGGUAGCAGUUUUUUAGAUUGGUUUACCAACUAAAGGAGAGAAUGGAUAGUAAAAUAUUUUUCUUUUUAGUUAACUUAAAAUCAAAACUGUUUAAAUCCGCAGAGUUUCUUCAGGCGGAAAGGCAAGUAAAGCCUGACCCAUCCAGUUUACCAUUUUCCUAAAGCACUGGAUUUGGCCCCGGGGAAAACUUCCACUCCCCGGGGUGGGGAGGAGUGGCACAUUUUCAAAGCCACCCCCUAGGGGUUCCCAGGUCCCGCGCUGUGAGUUUCCUUUGAGUACCCCAGUUGAUUUUGGAAGGCGGGCAUCAUAGGGAACGCGGAGGAAAGAAGUGUACCCUAAACUAGGGAGGAACCCAAGAACUGGAGAAGUCCCCUCAUAGUUCACCAGUAAAUAGACAGGCUCUUAACAGUUCUAUUUUCUUCGUGGUUCUUUUUUCUUUUUCCUUUCCUUUCCUUUUCUUUCUCCUUUUUCUUUUGCCUAUCUCCUUUGGGGGUGGAGGGAUUGCUAAUCUUAACGAAAUUCUUUCUCUCCCGACUAUUUACACUCAAGGAGUGGUCCCUCCGCAGUGUGCCUUCCGUCCUCGAGCCCACCUCCUCGUCCUCGGAGAGUUGCUGGCUCUGGGGCGCGACCUGUCCCCAGGGCUGAUUUAUUUGGGGCGCGCCGCCACACUACUAUUCGCGAUUCGAAUCCAGCCAGAAUAGAGCAGCCAAUUGGGCAGGGGGCGGAGGCUUUGUUGCUAAAUGCGAAGGGAUGUUUGGGGACCCAGCCACGCUCUGUUUCCAGAGGAGCUGUGACACGCGGGCGGGAGCCCGCAUAACGACACGCCUUGACCCCUGCAAACUUAAGCUCAUUACGCCGUCAGUUCCCCAAAGCUCCAGGCUGCUCCAGCGACACUUGAGAAUUUGUGACUUAAAACUUAAGUUUUAAACUUGAGUUUUUACAAAGCCACAUCUCUAGGGCCUUUUCGCCUAUACCGGAUUUCUUACCGUCCCUGGGACGCUUUUGCCGAAGGACAGGGGUCACCCUGGUGUCCCCCCACCCCAGCCAUCCUCCGCGCCCAAUAGUCGUGGGGCGGCCUGUUCUCGGACUCAGCCGCUGUCAGUCCAGUGCAGGCGCUUGCGGAAAGUCCUGACGGUGUUUGGGGUGGAGGGCGGCGGGUGGUUUUGUUUUGUUUUAAUUCUUGAAAGCCCAAAAAUAUACGUUAGAAAUAUCAGAUCGUGGCAGGGGUUGGGGGGGGGGCACGAAAACUGCGCAGCCUAGAAAAUUGGGUCGCCCCCCGCCCCCAGCACUCCCCGUCCCCCGCCCCCUUUUCCCGCCGCCGGUCACUUCGGGUAAGGAACUCGCCGAGCCCGGGCGGUCGGCAUAGCGUCCCGGCGCGCGGCGGCUGCAGGCCGGGCCCGGCCGCCCCCGGCCCCGCAGUCCCGGGCCGCCCCCAGCCAGCGGCCGCCAGCACGGCGCGGAGGUGGGCUCGCGGCGGCGGCGCGCGAGAGGUCAUCGCGGUGGCAUUCCUCCCUGCGCGCUGUUUACGUGAUUUAAUGUAUUUCAUACGCCGCGGCCUGUUAUCUAGGCCACCCAUGACCGACGAAAGAUCUUCCCUCCCGGCUUCUCCCACGGCCGCUUUAAACCAAAUAAAUUUAGCUAUUAAGGGCCAAGAUGUCUGACAAAAGAUCGAAAGGUGUCUAUCCGUGAUCGCUUAAAGCAGCGAAGGAGAAACUUGUGGCUCUCUGAUCCCGAUAAAGACAUUCCACACGGCGCCGGCCUCCCUCCCCACGGCCUGGUUGCGUCCUGACGCCUUGAGAUCUCCGCUUCGCUGGCCAGAUCUCCCCGGGCGCGGCGAGACCUGCGUCCGUCGCCCUGGGAAUGCGGAGGUCCCCAGGCGGCCGGGCUUGGGGGUGCCAGGCCCCACGGUCCCGGGAACUGUGGAAAUUCAGGCCUGACCCGGCUGGGCUCCGAAAACAGACCCCCUGCACUUGGCAGAAAAACUAAACCGAGCUCAUUAGGACCUGAAUUACUAUCCCUUUUGAUUAUUUUCUGAAGCUGAAUACUACUGUAGGCCAUCCACCCCUGCCUUCCCACCCUCACUCCCUGCGGGUUUGCCUAGGGUCCGAGUUACUUCACAUGACUGGCCGUUGGGAGCAGAACUCCCUUUGAACCCCGGUCAGAACCUGGUGGGUGGAACUGGGCAGCUAAAUUAGACUGAGGCUAAUGGGGAGGGUGUGGACUCCCAGAGUAAGAGCGUGCAGGUGGGAGGCAGAGGUCCGGCCUUUCAAUCAUCCCCAGGUUGGGUCUGGUUAUGAAGUGUGGUAUUUAUUAUCAUUAUUAAUUACUACUGGCAUCACUACACAAAGCUGAGGGCUGCCAGCUUGGCUGAGGCCCUGCCCCUGCCGGGAUCCCUUCCCUUUCACUAAAGGUGAAGUAGGGAAUAUCCACUUUCCUGAUCCAGGACUGGAAAGUGGUCUUGGGGAGCCAGGGGCUAUGUUUUGGGAGUUUGUGCACUGAAUCAUUUCUUUUCCUCUUUGGUAGCAUUCCCCUAUAACUCUAAACACACAUGGAAGCCUUUCCUACCUCUUUGUAGUAUGUGUGGGUAAGAACCUCAGGGUGGUAGAUCAGAGACUGCACUGACUUCCCUGCCCGGGAGAUUCUCCCCAUAUCUUCUGCCAUCCCCUUGUGCUCUAUGGUGAAGUUGGAGACAGGGGUCAGAAUUCCGAAGGCAAACCAACUUCCUCAGUUUCUGUCACCUCGGUCUGGGCCCCGGAAGUGAAAUCUGCCUCUCUUUUCUCAUUGCCCUCCUCCAAAUAAGGUGAACUCCAAAACCAGCUGUCUUAUCUAAUCCUUCCACCGCCACCCCCACCCCAGCCUCCUGGGAUAGGAAAACUCAGAACAUCGGAAGGAGAAAGACCAUUUCUACUCCCCAAAAGGGGAACGAGAUACAGAAAUUUUCAACACACUAGACAGACAGGCCCCAGGCUUACCUUGGAGUUUGCUGGUAUCACUAGGUGGGCAGACAAUGCCAAUUCCAGGAUCAGAGUCCAGAUGCCACUGCCCCAGAGCUGUCUCUGCUCAGAGACCUGUUUUUUUCUUUUCUUAGGGGGUUGAGGUGGGGGGCAUUGGUUAGGUGUUGCUAAGGAGAAGCGGAAAAGGAGAUAAGUUUUUGGACGUUUGCCUCAAGUCAGUUAAAGGGGGGAGUGCCCCCAAAUAAAAAAAUAACUGCAUUUGCCCCCAGAACUAUGAUCUCUGCACUCAGUUAUGUUACAGAUAUGCAGAGAAUCAGGACCAAGAGUUGUGUACCCAUAUACAGCCCUCCAGUUUCCUGCACUUGCUCCACAGCACUGCAUGUACACUGCCCAAAGAAGAACUAGAAGGGUUAGCAACUAGUUUUGAAGUGUUUACAGUCUAGAAGUUUGGCACUUCUGUAGAGCCUCAAAGAUGGAGGAAGAUGCUUGAUCCUUUCUCUAAAAAAGUACCCAGCCUCAUGUUGUGUUGUCGGCUUCACAGUGAGUUUGUGAAGAUGGGAGUCACUCUGACUCACAGACUGAGGCAACUGAGAUAGGUUUCAAACCUGACUCCGCCACAUUCUGUAUGACCAGGACAAAUUCCCUAACUUCUCUCUGCCUUAGUUUUCCCAUCUGUAACAUGGGGAUGAUAAAAGUACCUGCCUUACAGGAUUGUUAGGGGAUUAAAAGAUUACUAGUAUCUAUACUGUAUUAGACUCCUGUACUACACCAUUUUUCAAUUUGUUGUGUGUCUCAACUGUUCCCCGGAGCUGGUUCAUUUCCAGGGAAGAACUGCUUUGAGCACACUUUAAGUCCUGCCAUUCAUUAAAGGUCUCAGGCAUUCUCUAUGUACCAGCAGUGAGGAUUUUAUUUAUUGCAUUAUAGUAGAAAGGGGUGGGGUGAGACAAACAGAGAUCCUUUACUUGGCUUUUGGUUCCUUUGAAGAAGAAACAUUCCUUGUCGUUCCCUUUUGCAAAUGCCAGCAGCAGACUCGAACAUCCUCUUUCCUGGAAAUUAAUUAGCUCCGGGGAACAGUUGGGUCACACAAGAAAUUGAAAUCUGCUGGAGUACACGCGAGUCUAUUACAAUAUAGAUAGUAGGGCGCCUGGGUGGCUCAGUGGGUUAGGCCACUGCCUUCGGCUCGGGUCAUGGUCUCAGGGUCCUGGGAUCGAGUCCCGCAUCGGGCUCUCUGCUCAGCGGGGAGCCUGCUUCCUCCUCUCUCUCUGCCUGCCUCUCUGCCUACUUGUAAUCUCUCUCUGUCAAAUAAAUAAAUAAGAUCUUUAAGAAAAAAAAAAACAAUAUAGAUAGUAAUCUUAACAAAGAUAGUAAUCUUGAGGCUCAUCCUUAAGAAAAGUAUCCCAGUCCUCAGCAGCACCCCUCCCUGAGAACAACUUCUGGCAACAGCAGUGAGUUAACAGAUGGGACCAUGAAGGAGAGCAACCUGUGGGCUGGCAUUAGAUAAAAGGGAGGGCGGGGGCUCAUUAAAUGGACCUGCUCAUCUGAUAAUACUUCUAUACUCUUCCCAUGCUCUGUACCUUUCAGUUUGAUACUGCUGUAUAUGCAGGAAACUUGAACAUCCCAUUUUGUUAAGAAAUAGAAAAAUAAAGAUCACUUAGAAGUUACGGAA
This is a long non-coding RNA of Mustela lutreola (European mink), 4790 nucleotides long. RefSeq lists it as uncharacterized. The record is from RefSeq and is a predicted model, not a curated record. The transcript is spliced from 2 exons. NCBI's taxonomy places the organism in Eukaryota, Metazoa, Chordata, Mammalia, Carnivora, Mustelidae.